CGGUAAUUCCAGCUCCGAUAGCGUAUAUUAAAGUUGUUGCAGUUAAAAAGCCCGUAAUUGGAUUUCUGGCGGGAGUUCCAGGUCCGCCCGGCAACGGGUGUGCACUUUCGGAACCUCCGGCCACUUUUACACCGAGUGACUCUGGCAUUAAAUUAUCGGGGAUCGGGAGGUGUAUCAUUUACUGUGAAAAAAUUACAGUGUUUAAAGCAGGCAAUCUGUGUGAAUACCUUACCAUGGAAUAAUAAAAUAGGACUUUGGUGCUAUUUUGUUGGUUUGCACACCAAGGAAAUGAUUAACAGGGACAGUUGGGGGUAUUCAUAUUUAGAUGUCAGAGGUGAAAUUCUUGGAUUUUCUAAAGAUGAACUACUGCGAAAGCAUUUACCAAGGAUGUUUUCAUUAAUCAAGAACGAAAGUUAGGGGAUCGAAGAUGAUUAGAUACCAUCGUAGUCUUAACCAUAAACUAUGCCGACUAGGGAUCGGCAGACGUUAUCAAAUGACUCUGUCAGCACCUUAUGAGAAAUCAAAGUCUUUGGGUUCCGGGGGGAGUAUGGUCGCAAGGCUGAAACUUAAAGGAAUUGACGGAAGGGCACCACCAGGAGUGGAGCCUGCGGCUUAAUUUGACUCAAGCACGGGAAAACUUACCAGGUCCAGACAUAGUGAGGAUUGACAGAUUGAGAGCUCUUUCUUGAUUCUAUGGGUGGUGGUGCAUGGCCGUUAUUAGUUGGUGGAGUGAUUCGUCUGGUUGAUUUCGUUAACGAACGAGACCUCAGCCUCCUAAAUAGGAGCGCUUUCCAUUGGAAGGUGACUCACUUAUCAGAGGGACAUUUGGGUUCAACCCAAAGGAAGUCUGAGGCAAUAACAGGUCUGUGAUGCCCUUAGAUGUUCUGGGCCGCACGCGCGCUACACUGACAGAAUUCAACGAGUUUAUCACCUAGACUGAGAUGCUCUGGGUAAUCUUUUAAACAUUCGUCGUGCUGGGGAUAGACGAUUGCAAUUAUUCACCUUCAACGAGGAAUUCCUAGUAAACGCGAGUCAUCAGCUCAGCAUUGAUUACGUUCCCUGC
This 1063-nucleotide ribosomal RNA is filed under the name uncultured stramenopile. RNAcentral's name for it is "SSU rRNA". It matches the Rfam family "Eukaryotic small subunit ribosomal RNA", at positions 577 to 1656 of the family's 1831-position model. The record is from RNAcentral.